This is a non-coding RNA of Arachis ipaensis, 936 nucleotides long. Lineage: Eukaryota; Viridiplantae; Streptophyta; Magnoliopsida; Fabales; Fabaceae. The record is from RefSeq and is a predicted model, not a curated record.
UCUAAUGUAAGCACGCGGCAACACUUAAUUUUUUCCUUUUCACAAAACUGCGCCCUUCUCAUUCGUUCAGAGAUUAAAGUUCACCUUCUUCUUCACCGUUUUUACCCUUCUUCUUUGCCUUCACUCACCACCACUCACCGUCUUUAUUCUCCUUUGUCUUUAUCUUCGCUCAUGACUCACCGUCUCCGCUCCUCAUUUUCACCUUCGCUCACCAUUCACAAUGCUCACCAUCAGCAUCUCGUGCGAUCAGCGUCGCCGCUUACCAUCGUCGUCUGUGCACUCACCAGGGAAUCGUUGUCUGUGAAAUGGAUGAAGAACUAACUUCAAAAACAGUGGCUUGGUGUGGCUGAUUGUGCUAAUUUCAAGUCAGGAUCCAAAGAACUCAAGGUAGAAUGCAAGAGUUCUGCUAAAAAUGGCCAUAUGCAGCAUAAGAUACUUAGUGGGAGAAGCAAGGUUUGAAAUCUUACAAGAUUUAUCCAAGGAGAAAGUGAUGACUUUAUGAAUCUGGCCUUCAUAACAGGUAGAACAAACCACGCAGUACUAACAUCUGAUUCGCAGCAAAUUAAUUGGAUGUCUUUCUCAUUGUAUGCACUAAGGUGUUGAAAGUUCUCUCAGCAUCUCCUUUAGAUUAUUCUACCAACCCAAAUUCAAAGUUAGCUACUCCUGCAUAACUUGCUGGAACUUCAAUGUCAUUAGUUUCGGUUGUUUAGUAUAAGUGACAACAUUGGUGAAACUGAAGGUGAAACAGGUGGACAUGUUUUUUGUGCAAUUUAUAUGCCAAAUCUUAGGUGUUGUUUGUAUUUUUCAUUUUUUUUAAUUUUUAAUGUGCAAUGAGGAAUGAGAUGUGUAAUAUAUAAUAAAUUUUAUAGAAGCAUAAUCACUUUUUUGCAUCCAGAUUGAAACAUCUUUAAAGAAGUGAAUGAAUACUUACUUUUA